Molecule: ribosomal RNA, 2954 nt
Filed under: feces metagenome
Description: bacterial LSU rRNA
Rfam family: Bacterial large subunit ribosomal RNA
Source: RNAcentral
GGGGCGCAUGGUGGAUGCCUUGGCACGCAGAGCCGAUGAAGGACGUAUGAAGUUGCGAUAAUCCUCGGGGAGCUGCUAACAAAGCUUUGAUCCGAGGGUCUCCGAAUGAGGAAACUCACCUAGUGUCAUUGCUAGGUAUCUCUUUGAUAGAGAGGGGAACGUAGGGAAGUGAAACAUCUCAGUACCUACAGGAAAAGACAUUCCGAAAGUAGUGGCGAGCGAAAUCGGACGAAGGCCAAACCAUGACUGUGUGAUAUGUGCAAGCAGUUGCAGCCAUGGUGUAGUGGGAAUAGACGUUUGAGCACUUGCAAGCUUAAAGACGGUAACAAAGAGACGUUCGAGAGGAAGCUGGUUGAAUACAGCACCACAGAAGGUGAAGGUCCUGUACUCGUACGUGCGUCUCCCGUCUGUUCUAUCUCCCAAGUAAGGCGGAACACGAGGAACUCCGUCUGAAUCUGCCCCGACCGCGGGGUAAGCCUGAAUACUACUGCGUGACCGAUAGUGUACAAGUACCGUGAGGGAAAGGUGAAAAGUACCCCGGGAGGGGAGUGAAAUAGUUCCUGAAACCAUGUGCCUGCAAACCGUUAGAGCACCUUUAAGGUGUGAUAGCGUGCCUAUUGAAAAAUGAGCCUGCGAGUUAGAGAUAUGCGGCAAGCUUAACCCGUGAGGGGGAGGCGCAGCGAAAGCGAGUCCGAAUAGGGCGUAUCAGUCGUGUGUUCUAGACCCGAAGCGGGAUGAUCUAGGCGUGGUCAGGUUGAAGCGUGGGUAAGACUGCGUGGAGGACCGAACCGGAGUAGGUUGAAAACUGCUCGGAUGAACUACGUCUAGGGGUGAAAGGCUAAUCAGAUUCCGUGAUAGCUGGUUCUCUCCGAAAUGUAUUUAGGUACAGCGUUACGUGUUCCCUUGCGGGGGUAGAGCUACUGGUUGACGGCGGGCUUAUUGCAAGUACCAAUGUCAGCCAAACUCCGAAUACCGUAUAGGCUAAGCGUAGCAGUGAGACGGCGGGGGAUAAGCUUCGUCGUCAAAAGGGAAACAGCCCAGAACGACGUCUAAGGACCCUAAGCGUGUGCUAAGUGGGAAAGGAUGUGAGGUCGCAUAGACAGCCAGGAGGUUGGCUCAGAAGCAGCCACCCUUAAAAGAGUGCGUAACAGCUCACUGGUCCAGCGCCCUUGCGCCGAGAAUGUAGCGGGGCUUAAGCACACCUCCGAAGACACGUCAGUAAUGUUUACAUUGCUGGGUAGGAGAGCGUUGAAUAGAGGAUGAAGCUAAAAGGAUAACCUCUAGUGGACACUAUUCAAGUGAGAAUGCAGGCAUGAGUAACGACAAGGGAAGUGAGAAUCUUCCCCGCCGAAUGACUGAGGGUUCCAGGGCCACGCUUGUCGUCCCUGGGUGAGUCGGGACCUAAGGUGAGGCCGACAGGCGUAACCGAAUGGAUGAAGGAGUUGAUAUUCUCCUACCGGUUCAAGACCGACAAAGUCCGAAUGAGAUAGUCUUGUGAUUUUUGUGUGAGGGUAUGAAACUUCGGUUUUUUAUUCGAUCGUAAAGAUCUUCAAGUUCUGCUCUACUAGGAGAGCAUAGGAGUGACGCAGGAAGGUAGCCGGCUGCGGUGGUGGUUAUCCGUGGUUAAACGUGUAGGCUGUUUUGGCAGGUAAAUCCACCAAAACUUUCAAAGCUGAGGCGCGACGAUGGAUCCCUUAAGGGAUGAACUCGGUGAUCCUAUACUGCCAAGAAAAACUUCGAUGUGAGGUCUUGCUCCGCUCGUACCCAAACCGACACUGGUAGUCAGGAAGAGAAUUCUAAGGCGAUCGAGAGAACCCUGGUCAAGGAACUCGGCAAAUUGCUCCCGUAACUUCGGAAGAAGGGAGACUCCCCGCGGUGAAUAUAUCUUGCGUAUAUGAGCUGUAAGGAGUGGCACAAGCCAGGGGGUAGCGACUGUUUACCAAAAACACAGGUGCAUGCUAAGACGUAAGUCGCUGUAUAUGCACUGACGCCUGCCCGGUGCCGGAAGGUUAAGCAGAGCUGUUAGGUUUUACCAAAGCAGCGAAGUUAAGCCCCGGUAAACGGCGGUGGUAACUAUAACCAUCCUAAGGUAGCGAAAUUCCUUGUCGGGCAAGUUCCGACCUGCACGAAUGGCGUAACGACUUCCCCACUGUCUCGACCAGGGUCUCGGUGAAAUUGCAGUACGAGUAAAGAUGCUCGUUACGCGCAGAAGGACGAAAAGACCCCGGGACCUUUACUGCAACUUGGUAUUGUCAUUCGGUAUUUGUUGUGCAGCAUAGGCGGAAGACUAUGAAGCAGUGGCGCCAGCCAUUGUGGAGUCAACAAGUGAGAUACCGCUCUGCAAAUAGUGGAUGUCUAACUUCAAAAAGAACAAUCCUUUUUAAGGACAGUGCCUGGCAGGCAGUUUAACUGGGGCGGUUGCCUCCUAAAAGAUAACGGAGGCGCUCAAAGGUUCCCUCAGGCCGGUUGGCAAUCGGCUGUUGAGUGUAAACGCACAAGGGAGCUUAACUGUGAGAGCGGCGGCUCGAGCAGGGACGAAAGUCGGAGUUAGUGAUCCGGUGCCAGCGCGCGGGCGUGGCAUCGCUCAACGGAUAAAAGGUACCCCGGGGAUAACAGGCUGAUCAUUCCCAAGAGUCCAUAUCGACGGAAUGGUUUGGCACCUCGAUGUCGGCUCGUCGCAUCCUGGGGCUGGAGCAGGUCCCAAGGGUUCGGCUGUUCGCCGAUUAAAGCGGCACGCGAGCUGGGUUCAGAACGUCGUGAGACAGUUUGGUCUCUAUCCUCUGCGCGCGUUGGAGUCUUGAGGAGAUCUACCCCUAGUACGAGAGGACCGGGGCGGACGAACCUCUGGUGUGCCAGUCGUCUUGCCAAAGGCGCGGCUGGUUGGCCACGUUCGGAUCGGAUAACCGCUGAAAGCAUCUAAGCGGGAAGCCGUCUCCAAGAUGAGGACUCCGUGU